RNAcentral lists this transfer RNA (73 nucleotides) under Nanobdellota archaeon. RNAcentral describes it as "tRNA-Cys". It matches the Rfam family "tRNA". From Rfam's summary of the family: Transfer RNA (tRNA) molecules are approximately 80 nucleotides in length. Their secondary structure includes four short double-helical elements and three loops (D, anti-codon, and T loops). Lineage: Archaea; Nanobdellati; Nanobdellota. The record is from RNAcentral.
GGGCUCAUGGCCAAAUCUGGUAAGGCAAUCGCCUGCAGAGCGAUGAUUCUGGGUUCAAAUCCCAGUGGGCCCU